Hippocampus zosterae (dwarf seahorse) is the source of this 3782-nucleotide long non-coding RNA. RefSeq lists it as uncharacterized. The record is from RefSeq and is a predicted model, not a curated record. The transcript has 2 exons. NCBI's taxonomy places the organism in Eukaryota, Metazoa, Chordata, Actinopteri, Syngnathiformes, Syngnathidae.
UUAAGGAUAUACUCAGCAAGGUGGAGAUAAAAGAGAAAGGGGAUUCGUGAGAUGUUGUGGAUUUGUGCUGAAGCUUGGAAAGAAAGAUCAAAGGCUUUGGAUAAAGAAUGUGCUUCAGAGUUAUUAAAAGAUAAAAAGAUAACUGAAUUGGAGGAAAAAAUUAAAACGCUUGAAUCAGACAGAGAAAAAGCGCAAGGAAUGUUAGAAAAAUCAGUUUCUUACAUUUCUCAGUUGGUACGAGAAAAAGGUAACAAAAAACCACGCCAAGCUCACCCGAAACAGGUCCGCUCUUUUACCAUGGAGUUGCCCGACUAGUUGGGAACCAGAAGGGUGGAGCGGAGACUUGUGGGGAGAUGGCGAUGGAGAAAUGACAUACGACGGCGAGAUGAAACCUCAGCAGUUUUAUCCAAAUUUGAACCAUGUAAAAAUACAACCUAUCACCCGCAGACGGGAAGAAAGGCAGGUUAUUCCUCCUAUUUAUCAGGAAGAAAGAGAUGGGAAUAAUGUGGUGGUAGUUGAUGGGGACGGAAACCCCGUCAUGCAAAUGAUAGAACAACCACAGCCACCGCCGCGAACAACCAUAACAAUGGAGGAUUUCUCACAAGAAGAAAUUGCUCACUUAACAGCAAAAUACAGACAGAAACAAGGAGAGCCCACCGACGCCUGGAUAAGGCGAAUGUAUGUGGAAGGGGCAGACUCUGUAGGGCUUGAUGCAGGGGAUUAUUUGCGCUUCGGUGGUCUUAACAAUGACUCGCGCUUGAACACUGAAUAUUGAGCAUUGGGCCGAGAAUGGCGAGACGCAGACCGAAUGACACUGUUUACCCUGUAUGCAAUGGCUGCGCAGGCGGUGUAUCCCACUUGGCAUGACUGGACUGAGGUCAAAGGCCAAUGGUCGACUAUGCGCGAUGCGAUACAUCGCAUGGGAAGAUUGUGCACCCGCGAGGCAAUUUCACGAGCAGGCCAUGCUUUUAUUGACGAUUCGCCCAUACCAUAAGUGGUGCGGGAUGCGAUGAUUAGAGAUGCUCCUUCUCAUUACAGAUCAGCAGUACUCACCAUCUUGCUAGGAGCAGCUGAAAACAGUUUCAGUGAUGUUAAAACGCGCCUAAUGGAAUUGGCGACUUUGGGAGACUGGGGAGACGCAACACGCUCUCCCCGACCUGAACCAAAGAAUUAUAGGUCAGAAAAAGAGGAGAAAAAGACAAACUCAAAGUCAUCUGAAGGGGGAGGGAACUGACGGGAAAUGUGGAGGGCACUGAUAGCAGCGGGAGUCCCGGCAGACGAAAUUGACGGGCUACCCACUAGUGCCCUAGCCGCGAAAUGUAAACAACGCGGAUUGAAAGUCAGUUGUUUGAGUAUGGGAACCAACAAAAAUGAAAGAAAAUCAGACAUUGCACAACUAGCGAUUCUCUUAAAAGAGAUGGUAUCGCCGGGAGUGCAACCAACAGCCCCUCCCCUUGAAACCUCCAGAGAGGAAGAGGAUGAAGAAGAAAGUACAGAUUCAUUAUGAAGACAUGCUGGUAGAUGUCAGAGGUCCCAGCUAUGUCGCAGCAGUAAAGAAGGGGCGAGCAAAGCCUAAAAACACGGGAAAGAAUAAGGACAGGAAAUCACAAACUUUUAAUCUCCUCAACUAGGAUGAAGGCCAAACUCAGUCAAUCAGCCACAGUCAAAUCAUCCACCGUUGGUCAGUAGGGGAUAACCGACCCCACGUCCAACUUGAAAUUUAUUGGAACAAUUCGGUACAAAAAGUGAUGGUACUGGUUCACACAGGAGCGGAGGCCUCAUUGAUUCAUGGAAACCCUGACAAAAUGAAGGGUGAAAUAAUUCCUUUAAGGGGAUUGGGAGGACAAGUGGUGAAAGGAAAAGCAGUUGUCCUCCCAUUGAAAAUCGGAAAGAUGCCGAUACAAAAAUUUGAGGUCGUUGUGACACCUAUCCCAGAGUGGAUAAUUGGAAUGAACAUUCUGGCUGGAAUGAGUUUGCAUUUGAAAAUGGGAAAAUUCCAAUUCGGAACAGUAACAGAAACCGAGAUACGAACAAUUUUGGUACGAAAGGUAAAAAUGACACCAUUUCCCAUACCUGAAGCCACAGAAACAGUCUCCCUUAAACAAUAUCGAAUUCCAGGGGGACAAGAAGAGAUCACUGCUACCAUCAAAGAAUAUUUGGAAGCAGGUGUGCUGAAGCCGGUGACCGCAAAGUGGAACAACCCCUUGUGGCCGGUAAGGAAAUCAGACAAUACAUGGCGAAUGACCGUUGAUUACCGAUGAUUGAACAAAAUGACACCAGCCUUGACUUCUGCUGUACCAGAUGCUGUCAGCAUCAUCGAAAGGGUGCCGCAUCACAGUGGAACUUGGUAUGGAGUGAUUGAUUUGGCUAACGCCUUCUUCACCAUACCGAUUCUCGAAGACAGAAUGGAGCAGUUUGCUUUCACGUGGGAAGGGAGACAGUAUACUUUUACUAGUCUACCUCAGGGGUAUUUGCACAGUCCGACCAUAUGCCACAGGAUUGUGGCUGAACACUUGGCGGAACUGCCGGUACCCAGACACUUGUUGGUGUCACAUUACAUCGAUGACAUCAUGGUGCAAGGAAACUCAGAGCAGGAAGUGAAAGAGUGGUUAAACAAAAUUGUGGAACACAUGAAAGAUCACGGGUGGGAAAUUAACCCGGCAAAAAUUCAAGGACCCGCCCAGACUGUCAAAUUUUUGGGCGUAAUCUGGAAUAAAGGUGAAAGAGAAAUCACCGAAAAAGCUAAAGAAAAAGUGGCGAACUUCCCAGUCCCACAUAACAAAAAGGAUGCCCAAAAAUACAUCGGCUUGUUUGGAUUUUGGAGACACCACAUUCCACAUUUGGGACAAAUCCUCCAGCCUUUGUACAAAUGCACUCGAAAGAAAGAAAUUUUUGAGUGGGGACCUGAACAACAGGCAUCCUUCGAAUUAGCUAAAGAGGCCAUUCAACAGGCCGCCUCUUUAGGAAAAAUGCAAUCGGGCCCUGUAGAAUUACAGGUGUCAGCCCUGAAUGACUAUGGUAAUUGGAGUCUGUGGCAAAUGCAGAACAGAACCAGAAAACCUUUGGGAUUCUAGUCCAGAAAAUUAACAGACGCCGGAGUGAGAUACACUCCCUUUGAAAAACAACUGCUUGCCUGUUAUUGGGCCUUGGUGGAGACUGAGGCACAGACGGUCGGUCAUGAAACAACCGAACGGACCUCCCAGGGCUGCGGAAAUUAUAGCCCAGGGAACUGACGCAACGGUCAGCGUCCUAUACCAAGGAGAAGAAAAAUGGGCGAAUGUACCCAUAAACAAAUGCUAUAUGCGAGAAAACUAAUCAUGUUUUUCUUGUCAUUUAGUGUUUAACUAAAUUUGUUACAGCUUGGAGAAUUGAUGCCUUGGUGGGAGUUGCUGAUCGGAAGACCUGCGGAAACCGAACGAUACCAUGGACCCUAUCGGGCGCCGCGGGACUGGAGGUGUCGCCGGCUGGGUCAUAUACCUCCUUGCCGCUGGUGCCAUGGUCCAGCCCUCCUGGGAGAUGACCGAGGGCCGAACCUGCAGGACAAGUCAAGAAGCUAGAUUUAUACAACUUGACGCCGAAUGCGACCCUAAUCAUCAGGGAUCAAACUGGACAAUAGUGGCAGAUGAAGACUUCAUCAUCGGAGACAGCGAACCUAUUGGGCACAAUACCCGUGGGUAUCCGGUGAGAGUGAUUCGUCGAAAGCUACCGCCAACCAUAACUUUGACACACUUGUCCCCCGUUUUGGAUACCUGCACACAACUUGCACAGGCAACAAUCGAAAC